UACCCGUCGCUCUAGUUGUGACCAUUAUUAUUGAGUCUAAAGCGUUCGUAGCUGGUCUGAAUAGUUUGUGCUUAAAUCGCUCAGUUCAACUGAGCGGUGUGGUAUGAAUACUUUCGGACUAAAGGCCGGGAGGGGGGCUGGAAACUUUUCAGGUAGGAGUAAAAUCCUUUAAUCUGAAAAAGACCACCAGGGGCGAAGGCGCAGCUCCGGGACGGACCUGACUGAGAGGGACGAACGCUAGGAGAACGAACCGGAUUAUAUACCCGGGUAGCCCUACCAAUAAACGCUGCUUACUAUACGUUGCAUUUCCAUAAGGAAAUGCAGUGUGACAGCGAAUGCGUUAGGUAAGCCACUUGGGGAGUAUAAUCGCAAGGUCUAAACUUAAAGGAAUUGGCGGCGGAGCACAAAAACGGGUGAAGUUUGCGGUUCAAUUGGAUUCAACUCCCGUAAUCUUACCAUAAGCGACAGCGAGAUGAAGGCCAGUCUGAAAAAGUUGCUCAAUGCGCUGAAAGGUAUUGCAUGGCCGUCAUCAGUUAGUAUCUUGAGACGUCCCGUUAAGUCGGGUAACUAACAAGACCCUCUUCCGUAUUUGCUAACGUUUCCCAUCCGGGUAAGACACGGAGCACAAAUAAUGAGAGGACUGCCGUGUCGACAAGAACAGAAGGAAAGGCGGAGGGACGACGGUCAGGUCAGUCCGAUCCCUAAUCCUCAGGGCUACACGCGAAUUGCAAUGGUAAAGGACAGAGGGAAGCCCAAUCCGAAAGGGGGGAGCCAAUCCCAUGAAAUCGACCCCAAUUCGGAUCGACGGUCUGAACUCGGCCUGCAGAACGUCGGAAUCCGUAGUAACCGCGAUCAACAAAGCGCGGUGAAUAUGUUCCCGCUCCU
This 885-nucleotide ribosomal RNA is filed under the name uncultured archaeon. Its description in RNAcentral is "bacterial SSU rRNA". It matches the Rfam family "Archaeal small subunit ribosomal RNA", at positions 474 to 1337 of the family's 1478-position model. The record is from RNAcentral.